UACGUAGGGGGCGAGCGUUAUCCGGAUUCACUGGGCGUAAAGGGCGCGUAGGCGGUUACGCAAGUCCGAUGUGAAAAGUCACGGCUCAACUGUGAUCGUGCAUCGGAUACUUCGUUGACUUGAGGUCGGUAGAGGCAAGUGGAACUAGCGGUGUAGCGGUGAAAUGCGCAGAUAUCGCUAGGAACGCCGGUGGCGAAGGCGACUUGCUGGGCCGUACCUGACGCUGAUGCGCGAAAGCUAGGGGAGCGAACCGG
RNAcentral lists this ribosomal RNA (254 nucleotides) under uncultured bacterium. RNAcentral's name for it is "partial 16S ribosomal RNA". It matches the Rfam family "Bacterial small subunit ribosomal RNA", at positions 524 to 776 of the family's 1533-position model. The record is from RNAcentral.